This 72-nucleotide transfer RNA is filed under the name Bos taurus (domestic cattle). It matches the Rfam family "tRNA". From Rfam's summary of the family: Transfer RNA (tRNA) molecules are approximately 80 nucleotides in length. Their secondary structure includes four short double-helical elements and three loops (D, anti-codon, and T loops). The record is from Rfam by way of RNAcentral. Lineage: Eukaryota; Metazoa; Chordata; Mammalia; Artiodactyla; Bovidae. RNAcentral also lists the same sequence under 5 other names.
UCCCUAGUGGAUCAGCUGGUAAAGAAUCUGCCUGCAAUGCAGGAGACCUGGGUUCGAUCCCCAGGUUGGGAA